GAUGAACGCUGGCGGCGUGCCUAAUACAUGCAAGUCGAGCGAACAGAUGAGGAGCUUGCUCCUCUGACGUUAGCGGCGGACGGGUGAGUAACACGUGGAUAACCUACCUAUCAGACUGGGAUAACUUCGGGAAACCGGAGCUAAUACCGGAUAAUAUAUUGAACCGCAUGGUUCAAUAGUGAAAGACGGUUUUGCUGUCACUUAUAGAUGGAUCCGCGCCGCAUUAGCUAGUUGGUAAGGUAACGGCUUACCAAGGCAACGAUGCGUAGCCGACCUGAGAGGGUGAUCGGCCACACUGGGACUGAGACACGGUCCAGACUCCUACGGGAGGCAGCAGUAGGGAAUCUUCCGCAAUGGGCGAAAGCCUGACGGAGCAACGCCGCGUGAGUGAUGAAGGUCUUCGGAUCGUAAAACUCUGUUAUUAGGGAAGAACAAAUGUGUAAGUAACUAUGCACGUCUUGACGGUACCUAAUCAGAAAGCCACGGCUAACUACGUG
RNAcentral lists this ribosomal RNA (497 nucleotides) under uncultured bacterium. RNAcentral's name for it is "partial 16S ribosomal RNA". It matches the Rfam family "Bacterial small subunit ribosomal RNA", at positions 28 to 507 of the family's 1533-position model. The record is from RNAcentral.